UACAGAGGUCUCAAGCGUUGCUCGGAUUUACUGGGCGUAAAGGGUGCGUAGGUGGCGAAGCAAGUCUGGCGUGAAAUCUCCGAGCCUAACUCGGAAAUGGCGUUGGAAACUGUUUCGCUAGAGGACUGGAGGGGAGACUGGAGUACUUGGUGUAGCAGUGAAAUGCGUAGAUAUCAAGUGGAACACCAGUGGCGAAGGCGAGUCUCUGGACAGUUCCUGACACUGAGGCACGAAAGCUAGGGGAGCAAACGGG
RNAcentral lists this ribosomal RNA (253 nucleotides) under uncultured bacterium. Its description in RNAcentral is "partial 16S ribosomal RNA". It matches the Rfam family "Bacterial small subunit ribosomal RNA", at positions 524 to 776 of the family's 1533-position model. The record is from RNAcentral.